AACAGUUCAAGUUCCAAGUUACUUGAAGUACAUUUAUACACGUGCUCACUGCUCAAUCAACGACCUCAUCGCCUACCCAUGCACGCACACGCAUGUAGAGAGGACGUCUACUUGAAGUAGUAUGGGAGGUCGAGCACGUAGAGGAGGAAGUAGGCCCAGACCACGCCGGAGAUGCCGCCGAAGAAGAAGCCUCCGGUGAACUUGGCCCAGCCGUCGGCGGUCUGCAGCUUGUCGGCCUCCUUCUUGCGGCCGGUGAGCGUGAGCGUGGGCGCCGUGGACGGGUCGCCCUCGUUGAAGGAGGCGACGCCGUACAUGGUGAGGCAGACGCUGAGGAUGGUGACGAGCCCGGCGGCGCCCAGGGCGCCCGCCUGGCCGUGCACGGGCGUGUUGCGGAGCGGGCCGGUGAGGGCGAAGGGGCCCACGAGGAGGUAGCCGUGCGCAAGCCCGACCUCGAUGCCGCGGAGCAGCGGGCUCACGGCGGUGCGGUAGGCCGGGAGGUUGGAGAGGUACCAGGCGAUGAGCGGGCUGGAGGUGAUGGGCGUCUCCAGGCUGCCGAUGAAGGGGUCGCCGUUGAUGGGCUGCACCACCUGGUACGUUGUCUGCUCAAGAACAACAGACAGUUUCUAUCAUCAGAGCCAAAGAAUUUUGUUUGAUCAUACAAAGAUAUAUUAUUGAAUUGCUAAUGUUCAGAGCAUCAAAUUGUAUAUCCAAUUUCCAGUCCUGUGAGAUAGAUCAAAAUGAAUCACACAAGAUGACUGAACUGAAAUCAAGAUUCUAGCAGCAGCACACAUGCAAAGAACUGAUCGAUUUGGAAGCAUUUUGAAUGAAAUUGAUAAUUCAUGUUGCCUAUAGCCAAGAGCCAAAUCGAUCAAAACUAUAAAAAAGAUGCAUCACUAUUUCGUUGCUCAGUAGAUCCACUGAC
This 922-nucleotide long non-coding RNA is filed under the name Setaria italica (foxtail millet). RNAcentral's name for it is "long non-coding RNA (SITA_LNC002363)". Lineage: Eukaryota; Viridiplantae; Streptophyta; Magnoliopsida; Poales; Poaceae. The record is from RNAcentral.